RNAcentral lists this ribosomal RNA (253 nucleotides) under uncultured bacterium. RNAcentral describes it as "partial 16S ribosomal RNA". It matches the Rfam family "Bacterial small subunit ribosomal RNA", at positions 524 to 776 of the family's 1533-position model. The record is from RNAcentral.
UACGGGGGGAGCAAGCGUUGUUCGGAUUUACUGGGCGUAAAGGGCGCGUAGGCGGCACCGCAAGUCGACUGUGAAAUCUCCGGGCUUAACUCGGAAAGGUCAGCCGAUACUGCGGGGCUAGAGUGCAGAAGGGGCAACUGGAAUUCUCGGUGUAGCGGUGAAAUGCGUAGGUAUCGAGAGGAACACCUGCGGCGAAGGCGGGUUGCUGGGCUGACACUGACGCUGAUGCGCGAAAGCUAGGGGAGCGAACGGG